Molecule: ribosomal RNA, 484 nt
Filed under: uncultured bacterium
Lineage: Bacteria
Description: partial 16S ribosomal RNA
Rfam family: Bacterial small subunit ribosomal RNA
Source: RNAcentral
GACGAACGCUGGCGGCGCGCCUAACACAUGCAAGUCGAACGGAGUCAAGAGGAGCUUGCUUUUCUUGACUUAGUGGCGAACGGGUGAGUAACGCGUGAGUAACCUGCCCUGGAGUGGGGGACAACAGUUGGAAACGACUGCUAAUACCGCAUAAGCCCACGGCCUGGCAUCGGGCCGAGGGAAAAGGAUUUAUUCGCUUCAGGAUGGACUCGCGUCCAAUUAGCUAGUUGGUGAGGUAACGGCCCACCAAGGCGACGAUUGGUAGCCGGACUGAGAGGUUGAACGGCCACAUUGGGACUGAGACACGGCCCAGACUCCUACGGGAGGCAGCAGUGGGGGAUAUUGCACAAUGGGGGAAACCCUGAUGCAGCGACGCCGCGUGGAGGAAGAAGGUUUUCGGAUUGUAAACUCCUGUCGUUAGGGACGAUAAUGACGGUACCUAACAAGAAAGCACCGGCUAACUACGUGCCAGCCGCCGCAGUAA